UACGUAGGGUGCGAGCGUUAAUCGGAAUUACUGGACGUAAAGCGCACGCAGGCGGUCUGCUAAGUUUGGAGUGACAGUUGGUGGCUUAACUGCCAAAGUGCUUCGAAAACUGACAGACUUGAGGGCUUCAGAGGGACACGGAAUUCCGGGUGGAGUGGUGAAAUGCGUAGAGAUCCGGAGGAACACCAAAGGCGAAGGCAGUGUCCUGGGGAGUACCUGACGCUCAGGUGCGAAAGCCAGGGGAGCGAACGGG
Molecule: ribosomal RNA, 253 nt
Filed under: uncultured bacterium
Lineage: Bacteria
Description: partial 16S ribosomal RNA
Rfam family: Bacterial small subunit ribosomal RNA
Source: RNAcentral